Molecule: long non-coding RNA, 554 nt
Filed under: Homo sapiens (human)
Lineage: Eukaryota; Metazoa; Chordata; Mammalia; Primates; Hominidae
Description: HSALNT0340223
Source: RNAcentral
UCGUGGGGAAGAAAUAGGUCUGACAUCAGUUUAUGACGGUACAGAGCCAGAGAAAGAAGCAACCCAGGUCCAAUCAUUCAGCAGAAUCAUCUCUCAAGGUGCCCUGGGGCCUCAUGCAGAGGGUUAACAAGGACAGAAAGUCUCUAGACCUGGGUCUGUUCAUCCAACUUCCAUAUAUCUGAUGGCCAUGGUCCAGGGUACACCCAAAAAUACAAUCUACCACAUUCACUGUACCUCCUUUCAAUGCUCAAAGGGGCAAGUCAAGCAACGUGCUAUACUGUUACAUUAAUACAAAACUGUAUUUAGGUAUGGGAAUUACUAAAUCCAAAGAUCCUGUGGAUCCCUGUGGAGUAAAUUCGCCAUGUGAUAACCCCCCACUAGCAGAGAACGAAAGACUCACAAAGGAACCUGAAACUUAAACCAAACUGAACCGCUGUGUACUAGAUCUGAAGGCUCUGCCUCAUCCACUGUAUCGUGCUGCCUCCCCAAGGCUUGAAUCGGCAAUGGGGGGAAAAAAAGUACCCUAGGAACAACCUUCUUGAGCCCAUUAAAAC